Molecule: unclassified non-coding RNA, 297 nt
Filed under: Hevea brasiliensis (rubber tree)
Lineage: Eukaryota; Viridiplantae; Streptophyta; Magnoliopsida; Malpighiales; Euphorbiaceae
Source: RNAcentral
GUUGAUUAAAUCAGUAAUCCAAAUAGAUCACAUAAUUAUUUACUCGAAUAGAGUGAAAAAGCAAAUCAAAAUCCUCAGAAGCAGAAACGGCGGGAUCUUCCCAUUGUCUGUUUUCUCUCAAGAUCAGGAAUGUGAAUAUGUGAAUGUUUACAUGAAACGCCGACACUCUUUGAGACAAAUAUGUCGCUGCUGCUUCUGCUAAAUAAUCCAAUGCAGAGAGAAAGAGACAGGGAAUUCAUGAAAGGGACUCGUGACUGAAGCUUUAUGUAUAUUGGGGAUGGCGUCUGCGUCUUUCCG